AGUAGGGUAAGCUAAGCACAAGCUGUUGGGCUCAUAACCCAAAAAUAGACUCCACUCUCCCUACCA
Molecule: transfer RNA, 66 nt
Filed under: Potamilus streckersoni
Lineage: Eukaryota; Metazoa; Mollusca; Bivalvia; Unionida; Unionidae
Description: tRNA-Met
Source: RNAcentral